CCUACGGGUGGCAGCAGUGAGGAAUAUUGGUCAAUGGACGAGAGUCUGAACCAGCCAAGUAGCGUGAAGGAUGACUGCCCUACGGGUUGUAAACUUCUUUUAUAUGGGAAUAAAAUGUUCCACGUGUGGGAUUUUGUAUGUACCAUAUGAAUAAGGAUCGGCUAACUCCGUGCCAGCAGCCGCGGUAAUACGGAGGAUCCGAGCGUUAUCCGGAUUUAUUGGGUUUAAAGGGAGCGUAGGUGGAUUGUUAAGUCAGUUGUGAAAGUUUGCGGCUCAACCGUAAAAUUGCAGUUGAAACUGGCAGUCUUGAGUCCAGUAGAGGUGGGCGGAAUUCGUGGUGUAGCGGUGAAAUGCUUAGAUAUCACGAAGAACUCCGAUUGCGAAGGCAGUUCACUGGACUGCAACUGACACUGAGGCUCGAAAGUGUGGGUAUCAAACAGGAUUAGAUACCCCAGUAGUC
Molecule: ribosomal RNA, 460 nt
Filed under: uncultured bacterium
Lineage: Bacteria
Description: partial 16S ribosomal RNA
Rfam family: Bacterial small subunit ribosomal RNA
Source: RNAcentral